CGGUUGCUAUCGUAUGACUAGGAUCUCUUCAAAAAUGCAUUUCCCUAAAGCAAUUUUAUAGCAAACAGAUCAAUUCUUCCGGGAGAGCUCAGAUUCCUUGAAAACAAAUACUAUUUAUUUUUAUGUGGUCAGAUGUAAUUAGCUCGUCCUACUCAGUGGUAGGAGCGUCAGUUUACCCAGAAAUCUUUUCACUCACAAAACAAGGGAGAAACAAUCAGUCAUGUAUAUUAAAAUCAAUCAAUUACUUGUCUCAUUAAGAAAGCAUGAGAAAGAAAAACAGAGGCACUGUGAGCGUGUGCAGUCAUAUUGCAGAGCAGAAGUGAAAAGGAUUUUUCAGUAUUCCCUAAUGAUGUGGCUGCAAUACACCGUAAGUUGUUUUUGCUCCCUUUCCCUUGAAUUCGGACGAGAUUGGAAUGAAAUGUGAUAAAGGGAAACACGGGAGCAGCAGAAAAUAUUUCUAAGACUGUAGAUCAUUCUACAGCGAAACAACGCGCCGUUGGGGAAGGAAAUGCACCUAAUUGAUUUCAGCCAAUUGAACCAUACCUUUCAAAUGUUUCCCAAAGAAGAAAGGUCAUCGUCUUCCGUUGAAUAAGGAUGAGAUAUAUAAAUGCCAUCUGGUUUAACAUGCAUGGAACAUUUUUCUUUCGUUUUAUUAUGCGGGAACAAAGGACACGCGAUGGAGAUUUGAAUGCUACGAUAUUUGCAUAAUUAUUCAUAUAGUAAAACCUAUACGCUUAUAUUAAAAGUAUAUCGAGGUUUCCUUCCUGGAGAACGCCUGUCUUUGUAAGCCUUUGUGAAAUAAAAACAAAACUCGAGCUCGCUUUGUCCAAAACUGGUUUAUGAAGAUUAUUUAUGAAACUCGACACAACACAAUCAUUCGAUAUAUCUCCUUUAGUUUCGGGAACACCAAGCAAUAACCGCAAUACAUGGAAGGAAUUCCCGCGAGAAUGUUUAUGAAGAUUUAAUAAGUCACUUAUUAUGUAAAUGCAUUUUUAAGAGUCUAAACUAGAGACGCUGCUCUUUGGGGUCCACACGAGGUGAAUUGUUAUUACUGCGAGAGUGAACCGAACGGCUUUUUUACUUAUCACGGAAUUGUCAUUCAAGAUCAGUUGUAACUAUGCCUCGCAACGAAUAUGAUAUUCAAUGUUAAAUAAUAUUUUGCGGCCUUCGGAUCCCCUAUUGCUGUAUUCAUUGGAUAACUGGAACUUUUUGUAAACUCUGGAUAGGAGAUUAUUUGUGCAACUCGCUGGCGUCACUUGCAACCCGUAACAUGGUUUGGAAUGUAAAUUUCGGGAAUAGUAUCCUGUUAUAUACGGUUCCACUUAAUGAUCACUCCAAAGUGUGCAAAGACACGAGAAGUUCGCUAUCAAUAAUGCUUCGUUAGUUUGUGUCAAUAUGUGGUCGGUUAAUUUAACUAUCAUAGUGAGGUUUAUAGUAAUGAUUUAAGUCUUAAGGUGGAAAUCAUUGAAGUGUAUAAAGCAACCUAUCAGAAAACGGGUCUACCGCAAAUCGUUCACAGAACAUUAUUGUCUGAUCAAUAAUAACUUGUCAAUUGCUUCAUUCCAGACACCAUAAAAGGCCAAUGGGAACGGCACUGCGUCCUUAUAAGCAGAAAGUAGUUUACAGAGGCACCAGGAAAUGUAACAGUGGAAUAUUGAGCAAAUUUAUGGAGUGGAUAACUCAGGCCUCAAAAAGGGUGAAAGGUUUCGUUAAACAUCCUUUAUAGAUUAUGGAAUUAAGAAAAUGACUAUGUGAUUCAGAACACAUGAUGAUUGCACAGUAUUUAAUUUUGGGCUCUGAAUUAACAAUGGGAAAUAUGGCAUAAUUCCAAGUUGGAAAAAAAAGUAUAUGAUUCUUUAUCCUAAACACUUCCAGCAUUUUAAGUUGUAUACAUCAUGUUCGACAGUAUGCAGUUUCUUUUCCAACCUAUAGUUUUAAAAACAUAUGUUCCAUAAGUUUCUGGACCUUUUCAAAUAGACCUUUGGUGCGUCUUUCACGUUUCAUCCUCAACUGAACGUUUAAAGAAGAUUUGAAAAUAGUUGAAAGAUUAGUGGAUCCUGAAUGAAAACAUAAUCUUAAUUGCGAAAAUAACUAUUGACGGGAACACGGAGGAAGGAAGAUGGGACAAGCAUCAGAGAUAUAGAUGAUCCACCGGGAAAAUAUAAAGUACCUCCUCCCCCUACAGAUGCUCCCUGGUCUAUUGUGUUCUCACACCAGCGUUUGUUUCAGCUUCUCUAGAUUCGUCGUAAUUACAUGUUUCUCUACAUUGAUUCUUUUUCAACAAAAUCUCCCAAAAUAAAACCCCGGAAUUAAAUAUAUGAUUUCAUUUUGCAAUAAAAGGCACAAUUGGGUGAAUUAAAUUGCAACCACGCUUUCCCUCUGUAUCUUCCACUUUGAAAUAAGUGUCAUAAUCUUAGGAACAAGGUACAACUAUUCACCAUAGCAGGUUGCUUCAGUAAUGCAUGUAAACGUGUUAAUUGAUGGAUUGACAUGGAUUGUACAUAUCAUUUAAAAAAUACGUAGUAAAAAAUUUGGUACUUUAAAAUAAUUUGUAGUUAGUACAUUUCAAAGAAUGCUUUUUGAUCUUCACGUAGCUUAGAUGUUUUUUUUUCAUUAAAGAUUUAACCAAGUGGAUUGGUGUGAUCUA
Molecule: long non-coding RNA, 2647 nt
Organism: Amblyraja radiata (thorny skate)
Lineage: Eukaryota; Metazoa; Chordata; Chondrichthyes; Rajiformes; Rajidae
Exons: 2
Source: RefSeq, a predicted model, not a curated record